RNAcentral lists this ribosomal RNA (465 nucleotides) under uncultured bacterium. RNAcentral's name for it is "partial 16S ribosomal RNA". It matches the Rfam family "Bacterial small subunit ribosomal RNA", at positions 28 to 507 of the family's 1533-position model. The record is from RNAcentral.
GACGAACGCUGGCGGCGUGCUUAACACAUGCAAGUCGAACGGUGAACUCCGCUUGCGGGGGGAUCAGUGGCGGACGGGUGCGUAACACGUGGGCAACCUGCCCUCAGCUCUGGGAUAACUCCAAGAAAUUGGGGCUAAUACCGGAUAUGACCGCUGACCGCAUGGUCUGGUGGUGGAAAGAUUUAUCGGCUGGGGAUGGGCCCGCGGCCUAUCAGCUUGUUGGUGGGGUAGUGGCCUACCAAGGCGACGACGGGUAGCCGGCCUGAGAGGGUGACCGGCCACACUGGGACUGAGACACGGCCCAGACUCCUACGGGAGGCAGCAGUGGGGAAUAUUGCGCAAUGGGCGAAAGCCUGACGCAGCGACGCCGCGUGGGGGAUGACGGCCUUCGGGUUGUAAACCUCUUUCAGCAGGGACGAAGCGAAAGUGACGGUACCUGCAGAAGAAGCACCGGCCAACUACGUG